Molecule: small RNA, 17 nt
Filed under: Arabidopsis thaliana (thale cress)
Lineage: Eukaryota; Viridiplantae; Streptophyta; Magnoliopsida; Brassicales; Brassicaceae
Description: ATSL048710
Source: RNAcentral
AAGAUAUACAGUCUUCG